CUUUCAUUUCUUUUUCUUUCCCACUCAUCUUUUCAUUCGUCUGUCUUCUUUGCCCUUCACUUUUCUCUACUCUGAUGUUCCGCCACAAGAUAACCGUCUCGCGACAUUCAAUCAGACAUCAGCCAUCAAGCCCAUUAACCUAGCGAUACAAGUCAACACCAGAGACGACUUAGAUGUAGUGUUUAUUGAAUUUUAUUUAUUGAAUUAUAUCGAUUUGCAAGAAAAUACUGUGUAAAGCAGAUUGGGUUUUUUGGUUGCUAUAAAUUUGUUUAUUGGGUUUCCAUCAAUUCAUUUAUUAGGCUGUAAAAGGAUAUAAUAGAUCUACAGUAAAGUGAAGGUUCAAACUCGGUUGAAAAUAGUAUGGUUUCAAAAUUAUCUAUCACAUGGAGAAUCAAUGAUGGGCAGAGAAAUUAAGAUUAGAUAGGAAGAAGAAAUGGGAGAAAACAUAAUAGAUCUACAGUAAAGUGAAGGUUCAAACUCGAUUGAAAAUAGUAUGGUUUCAAAAUUAUCUAUCACGUGGAGAAUCAAUGGGGGAGAAAGAAAUUAAGAUCAGAUAGGAAGAAGAAAUGGGAGAAAACUGGAAGAAGACAACCAAUGGAAGUAAUGGAAAUUCGAAUUGGGAAAUGACUCCAAUUUACUUGCGACCAAAUGACGCAUUUUGUCUUAACUGAGUUAUAUUAAGUCAGAUAAAACACGUCUUUUGCAUUUUGUCCGAAGAUAUGCAUUUUCUCUGUAUUGGAAGACUAUAGAUACAGAAUUAGGGAAAGAUGAAGGGCAACUUUUGUAAUCUGGUCAUUUCAGUAAACUUCGUUGAAAUCAUUCAAUAGCUUUUCUC
Molecule: long non-coding RNA, 835 nt
Filed under: Olea europaea subsp. europaea
Lineage: Eukaryota; Viridiplantae; Streptophyta; Magnoliopsida; Lamiales; Oleaceae
Source: RNAcentral